RNAcentral lists this ribosomal RNA (253 nucleotides) under uncultured bacterium. RNAcentral describes it as "partial 16S ribosomal RNA". It matches the Rfam family "Bacterial small subunit ribosomal RNA", at positions 524 to 776 of the family's 1533-position model. The record is from RNAcentral.
UACAGAGGUGCCAAGCGUUAGGCGGAAUCACUGGGCUUAAAGCGCGCGUAGGCGGAUGUUUAAGUGUCUUGUGAAAUCCCACGGCUCAACCGUGGAACUGCUGGGCAUACUGGACAUCUCGAGGCACUCAGGGGCGAGCGGAACAAGUGGUGGAGCGGUGAAAUGCGCAGAUAACAGGAAGAACACCAAUGGCGAAGGCAGCUCUCUGGGACGGUACUGACGCUGAGACGCGAAAGCGUGGGGAGCGAACAGG